UCCUACGGGAGGCAGCAGUGAGGAAUAUUGGUCAAUGGGCGAUGGCCUGAACCAGCCAAGUAGCGUGAAGGAUGACUGCCCUAUGGGUUGUAAACUUCUUUUAUAAAGGAAUAAAGUCGGGUAUGCAUACCCGUUUGCAUGUACUUUAUGAAUAAGGAUCGGCUAACUCCGUGCCAGCAGCCGCGGUAAUACGGAGGAUCCGAGCGUUAUCCGGAUUUAUUGGGUUUAAAGGGAGCGUAGAUGGAUGUUUAAGUCAGUUGUGAAAGUUUGCGGCUCAACCGUAAGAUUGCAGUUGAUACUGGAUG
This 305-nucleotide ribosomal RNA is filed under the name uncultured bacterium. RNAcentral describes it as "bacterial SSU rRNA". It matches the Rfam family "Bacterial small subunit ribosomal RNA", at positions 337 to 639 of the family's 1533-position model. The record is from RNAcentral.